RNAcentral lists this ribosomal RNA (254 nucleotides) under uncultured bacterium. RNAcentral describes it as "partial 16S ribosomal RNA". It matches the Rfam family "Bacterial small subunit ribosomal RNA", at positions 524 to 776 of the family's 1533-position model. The record is from RNAcentral.
UACGUAGGGGGCGAGCGUUGUCCGGAUUCAUUGGGCGUAAAGAGCGUCUAGGCGGCCAGGUAGGUCGGUUGUGAAAACUCUGGGCUCAACCCAGAGCCGCCACCCGAUACUGCUGUGACUCGAGUGCGGUAGGGGAGCGGGGAAUUCCUGGUGUAGCGGUGAAAUGCGCAGAUAUCAGGAGGAACACCAAUGGCGAAGGCAGCUCGCUGGAACGGUACUGACGCUGAGACGCGAAAGCGUGGGGAGCGAACAGG